GGAGGGUAUAGCUCAGUGGCAGAGCACGUGCUUAGCAUGCACGAGGUCCUGGGUUCAAUCCCCAGUACCUCCA
RNAcentral lists this transfer RNA (73 nucleotides) under Vicugna pacos (alpaca). Its description in RNAcentral is "tRNA-Ala (AGC) (tRNA-Ala-AGC-186-1)". It matches the Rfam family "tRNA". From Rfam's summary of the family: Transfer RNA (tRNA) molecules are approximately 80 nucleotides in length. Their secondary structure includes four short double-helical elements and three loops (D, anti-codon, and T loops). Further hydrogen bonds mediate the characteristic L-shaped molecular structure. tRNAs have two regions of fundamental functional importance: the anti-codon, which is responsible for specific mRNA codon recognition, and the 3' end, to which the tRNAs corresponding amino acid is attached (by aminoacyl-tRNA synthetases). tRNAs cope with the degeneracy of the genetic code in two manners: having more than one tRNA (with a specific anti-codon) for a particular amino acid; and 'wobble' base-pairing, i.e. permitting non-standard base-pairing at the 3rd anti-codon position. Lineage: Eukaryota; Metazoa; Chordata; Mammalia; Artiodactyla; Camelidae. The record is from RNAcentral.